Molecule: ribosomal RNA, 445 nt
Filed under: uncultured bacterium
Lineage: Bacteria
Description: partial 16S ribosomal RNA
Rfam family: Bacterial small subunit ribosomal RNA
Source: RNAcentral
GUGAGGAAUAUUGGUCAAUGGGCGAGAGCCUGAACCAGCCAUGCCGCGUGCAGGAAGAAUGCCCUAUGGGUUGUAAACUGCUUUUAUUUGGGAAUAAACCUUUCUACGUGUAGAAAGCUGAAGGUACUAAAUGAAUAAGCACCGGCUAACUCCGUGCCAGCAGCCGCGGUAAUACGGAGGGUGCAAGCGUUAUCCGGAAUCAUUGGGUUUAAAGGGUCCGCAGGCGGAUUAAUAAGUCAGUGGUGAAAUCUCAUAGCUUAACUAUGAAACUGCCAUUGAUACUGUUAGUCUUGAAUAUGGUCGAUGUGGGCGGAAUAUGACAUGUAGCGGUGAAAUGCUUAGAUAUGUUAUAGAACACCGAUAGCGAAGGCAGCUCACAAGGCCAUUAUUGACGCUCAUGGACGAAAGCGUGGGGAGCAAACAGGAUUAGAAACCCUGGUAGUCC